GAAUACAGGUGCUGCAUGGCUGUCGUCAGCUCGUGUCGUGAGAUGUUGGGUUAAGUCCCGCAACGAGCGCAACCCUUGUCCUUAGUUACCAGCGGGUUAAGCCGGGAACUCUAAGGAUACUGCCAGUGACAAACUGGAGGAAGGCGGGGACGACGUCAAGUCAUCAUGGCCCUUACGACCAGGGCUACACACGUGCUACAAUGGUAGGUACAGAGGGCAGCUACACAGCGAUGUGAUGCGAAUCUCAAAAAGCCUAUCGUAGUCCAGAUUGGAGUCUGCAACUCGACUCCAUGAAGUAGGAAUCGCUAGUAAUCGCGGAUCAGAAUGCCGCGGUGAAUACGUUCCCGGGCCUUGUACACACCGCCCGUCACACCAUGGGAGUUGAUUGCACCAGAAGUGGUAGCCUAACCGAAGGAGGGCGAUCACCACGGGGUUAUGACUGG
RNAcentral lists this ribosomal RNA (443 nucleotides) under Psychrobacter sp. PAH6. RNAcentral describes it as "bacterial SSU rRNA". It matches the Rfam family "Bacterial small subunit ribosomal RNA", at positions 1030 to 1478 of the family's 1533-position model. The record is from RNAcentral. Lineage: Bacteria; Pseudomonadati; Pseudomonadota; Gammaproteobacteria; Moraxellales; Moraxellaceae.